This 77-nucleotide transfer RNA is filed under the name Prochlorococcus sp. Its description in RNAcentral is "tRNA-Val". It matches the Rfam family "tRNA". From Rfam's summary of the family: Transfer RNA (tRNA) molecules are approximately 80 nucleotides in length. Their secondary structure includes four short double-helical elements and three loops (D, anti-codon, and T loops). Further hydrogen bonds mediate the characteristic L-shaped molecular structure. tRNAs have two regions of fundamental functional importance: the anti-codon, which is responsible for specific mRNA codon recognition, and the 3' end, to which the tRNAs corresponding amino acid is attached (by aminoacyl-tRNA synthetases). tRNAs cope with the degeneracy of the genetic code in two manners: having more than one tRNA (with a specific anti-codon) for a particular amino acid; and 'wobble' base-pairing, i.e. permitting non-standard base-pairing at the 3rd anti-codon position. Lineage: Bacteria; Bacillati; Cyanobacteriota; Cyanophyceae; Synechococcales; Prochlorococcaceae. The record is from RNAcentral. RNAcentral also lists the same sequence under 8 other names.
GGGCGAGUAACUCAGUUGGUUAGAGUGUCUGCUCGACACGCAGGAAGUCGGGAGUUCGAAUCUCUCCUCGCCCACCA